UGUCUUUAUUGUUUAUGGUAAAUGUACGUAUAUGCGUACUAAAGUACUUAUCCCUUUCGAUCGUUUGUAAUCGGUAUAAAAAAAAUAAUAUCAUAACAGUGAUCGAAAUAGGUUGUGCAUCAUCUAUAAUUUAUUUAACUUAGGAAGUUAAAAGUAUUGACGCGUGAAAAUAAUGAAAAUAUUUACUGUAUUAUACAAAUGUUGAAAAUUUAUCGAUUAAGGUAGUCGCCAUUAACUUGAUCCUUUAUAAAUAUGAAUUUAUUUAAUGCAAAAUGGUAUGCAGUUUGUUACACGAGUAUAAUAUACUUACUGUAAAUAGCUACGAAAAAUUAAAUUGGUUAAUUAAUCAGCCGUGUGUGAAUAUGUGUUACCUAACCGGUUGACCAGCAAAUUGCGAUGGAAUUCAUAAAGAAAAAAGUCAUAAAGUACAGUUUGCUUACCAAACAUGUGCUCCAUCCCUCUUAAACAUUUUUUAUUGACUAAUGACAAUUGCCAAUGAGAUGAAGAGAGAAAAACGAGUGUUAACCUCUAUAUAUACCUAAUUAAUAUUAUAAUAUUGUUUUAUAAUACGUCGUUGGAAGUUGCGAAAAAAAACAAAUCACUGCGGUCAGUCUCGCCGGUAAAUACCAUCACCUAAUACCUAGCAGCGAGGGGGGCAAAGCUCGCCGUAUUAUUGAUUCGUUUUUUUUUUCGAGUUUUUUGGACUUCCAACUCGCGAAAUCGUCCGAAAAUCCAGUCGUCAACGCGGACGUCAAACGGCACCAUCGUCGUCAUCUGCAGGUCUGUAGAAAUACUUCCAAUUUCCAUUUAAUUCCGCGACUGCAGAGCACGCUACGGGAAUAAUCGCCACCGUCGUCAGUAUAUGAAUUUUGGAUGACGUCCGAUGAUUCGCACCAAGUAGGCGGACCUUUGCAACGGUGCAGUUGCGAUUAUCCGCAGCCGCCGGACGCCGACCUCAUAACGGUGGCGGUCGCCGUGGAUACCGCGGCAGAGGUGGAGGCGCAAAGGAAACGGCAGCAAAGGCAGCGGAGGCGUGACGCGGAAGGUGAGGCGACUGACGGGGCGUCCGACGAGUCCUUUUGGAAACGGUCCACGGCAUUUGUGACGGAUUGCGCGGCGCGCGUCAGACGUGGCGCCGCCCGUCUGUGUCCGGACUGUUGAAUACCAAGUCCGGAUUAAGGGGGGGGGGCAAAGGGGGCCGUGGCACCCGGGCCUUGGUGGUUGGAGCUCGUUUAGGGGCCACACAUUUUUGUCUGUUAAUUUUUUCGUUAUAGGCUAUACAUGCCAUAAAUCACCUAAAAAAAUCGAUGAUAUAUUUUCUGACGACAUUAUUUUCAAUUACAUAAUAAUAAUAUUAUAAUAUUAUACGCAUAUUAUAAUAUGUCAAAUAAACCUCUUAUAAUAAUUCACUAUUAAAGUCCAUCAAUUCGAUUGAUGUCGCCCAUCAAUCGAACGGGCAAAAGAUGUUUUUGUACACCAGUACACUGCAACAACACAACACGUUGCAACAAAUUUGUCGUCUUCUGUUAUCGUUGUUCAUUUUGAAUGGUUUGAUGAGUUAAUUUUUAUAUUUUUCAUUCUUUUUUAAUAUUUUAAAAAUGAAAGGGCACUUUGAAAGUGGUUCUCCAAAAAGAAAAACAAAAACAACAGAUUGAAGUAAAUAAGCGCCUGUAGACUGUAGAAGAUUAACGAGUACAGGGGCCUCAUUUAAAAUGUCGGCCCCGGGGCCUCAAAAUGUCUUAACCCGGGCUGGGACGAAUAAUAAUUUUUCUUGCAUGGCACGAUGUGGAGAAGAUGUUAAGGUGAUAUCACUUGUCAAAAUUUGACAGAACGGAUGCCAAAAAUAUGUAAGUACGGCGGACCAGGAGUUCCGAAAUCUCUCAACCGAGUACGCCACCAUUGGCCCGGGACAUAUUUUAUUUCCAGUUUUAAUGCGUAAAUAAUCCGCAAUUAAAUAUUUAAAAAUGUAUUCAAAUGUAAAUAUAAUGUUCACAGUAAGAAUAUAAAAUAGGUGAAAUACAAUAUUAUUUCAUUAUAUGUUGCACAAUGUUGUAUUUUAUCGGUAUAUUUUAUAGAGAUAAACCAAUCGAUAAGCUUGUAUUAUAAAUUAUAAUUUAUUAUAUUGAACAUGACGUAUUCGUAUUAUUAUAUUAUAUUACGUUAUUACACUUUAAAAAGGUUUGAACAUUAAUUGAAAAAUAAAUAUAAUUUUCAACUUUUAGUUUAUUUAUUUGCCAAUAAGUUAUUGAUAUAUCUGAACUCCUCCUAAAUGGCCGGACCGGUUUGAAUGCAUUUUUUUGUAUGCGUUUGGGUGACGUCCUGCAUGGUUUAGAUUCACAAUUAUUGGACCCGAUGGGUCCGACCCGGGGAGUUGCUCGAACAGGAAUUUUAAGUUUUACGGAGAAAAUAUUCGUUUAUAUACGGUUGAUAUUGGUUACAGGACAAUUAAUAUAAAUAUAUUUAGUAGAAAUUGGUAUUGUUUUUUUGUUUAUUCGCGGUAGUCCAUCGGGCAGAUCAAGUAUAUAAACAUGCAUACAAUUGCAUUUUCGCACAUUGCCCACCAAGGUGGCCGAGUUGCACUUAUGGCCGCUCAUCGGCGUGUCCGCAGUCAAAAUCAAAAUAAAACAUAUUAUUUAUAUAAAGUACUCAUCAAGCGGGAUACAUGGGCAAUCCACAGCAGCAGGUAGCCAUAAUAUACUGCUCGCAUUAUCACCACCGAGUCUCAUAUGGAGUUUGCAUUUCUAACGGGCAACAAAGUGCACGCGGGAUCGGCUAGUUUUACCAUACAAUUAUAACUAGCUAUUAAAAAUUCUCAUAAAAAUCUGAUAUCUUUUAGUAGCUUAAAAAAAGUAAAACUAUUUUGAAAAUUGUAUGGUGUAUAGAAAAUGCUAAAAUAAACAUUCGAUAAAAAUGGCAAUGUGACAAUUUUAUAUAUUUUUCAAGCAGUUAGUAUGGUUCCCCUAAAGAUGUUUGUGUUGCUGUAUUAUUUACUAUUAAUUAUAUA
Myzus persicae (green peach aphid) is the source of this 3004-nucleotide long non-coding RNA. RefSeq lists it as uncharacterized. NCBI's taxonomy places the organism in Eukaryota, Metazoa, Arthropoda, Insecta, Hemiptera, Aphididae. The transcript is spliced from 3 exons. The record is from RefSeq and is a predicted model, not a curated record.